Molecule: ribosomal RNA, 429 nt
Filed under: Actinomycetes bacterium
Lineage: Bacteria; Bacillati; Actinomycetota; Actinomycetes
Description: Actinobacteria bacterium partial 16S ribosomal RNA
Rfam family: Bacterial small subunit ribosomal RNA
Source: RNAcentral
UAGGGAAUCUUCCGCAAUGGGCGAAAGCCUGACGGAGCAACGCCGCGUGAGUGAUGAAGGUCUUCGGAUCGUAAAACUCUGUUAUUAGGGAAGAACAAAUGUGUAAGUAACUAUGCACGUCUUGACGGUACCUAAUCAGAAAGCCACGGCUAACUACGUGCCAGCAGCCGCGGUAAUACGUAGGUGGCAAGCGUUAUCCGGAAUUAUUGGGCGUAAAGCGCGCGUAGGCGGUUUUUUAAGUCUGAUGUGAAAGCCCCCGGCUCAAACGUGGAGGGUCAUUGGAAACUGGAAAACUUGAGUGCAGAAGAGGAAAGUGGAAUUCCAUGUGUAGCGGUGAAAUGCGCAGAGAUAUGGAGGAACACCAGUGGCGAAGGCGACUUUCUGGUCUGUAACUGACGCUGAUGUGCGAAAGCGUGGGGAUCAAACAGG